RNAcentral lists this ribosomal RNA (1185 nucleotides) under metagenome. RNAcentral describes it as "bacterial SSU rRNA". It matches the Rfam family "Bacterial small subunit ribosomal RNA", at positions 323 to 1520 of the family's 1533-position model. The record is from RNAcentral.
AACACGGUCCAGACUCCCACGGGAGGCAGCAGUUGGGAAUAUUGGACAAUGGGAGAAAUCCUGAUCCAGCCACCCCGCGUGAGUGAUGAAGGCCUUCGGGUCGUAAAGCUCUUUAAGUAGGGAAGAACAAAAUGACGGUACCUACAGAAUAGGCACCGGCUAACUCUGUGCCAGCAGCCGCGGUAAUACAGAGGGUGCAAGCGUUGUUCGGAAUCGUUGGGCGUAAAGCGCGAGUAGGCGGCCACCUAAGUCUGGUGUGAAAUCCCGGGGCUCAACCCCGGAAGUGCACUGGAUGCUGGGUGGCUAGAGGGUGAGAGAGGAGAUUGGAAUUAAUGGUGUAGGGGUGAAAUCCGUAGAUAUCAUUAGGAACAUCUGUGGCGAAGGCGAAUCUCUGGCUCACUUCUGACGCUGAGACGCGAAAGCGUGGGGAGCAAACAGGAUUAGAUACCCUGGUAGUCCACGCCCUAAACGAUGAAUACUAGUUGUCGGGAUACCUAAUUGUCUCGGUGACGAAGCUAACGCAUUAAGUAUUCCGCCUGGGGACUACGGUCGCAAGAUUAAAACUCAAAGGAAUUGACGGGGGCCCGCACAAGCGGUGGAUCAUGUGGUUUAAUUCGAUGCUACGCGAAAAACCUUACCUAGGCUUGACAUCCCGCGCUAACCCAUGAAAGUGGGCGUUCCCUUCGGGGACGCGGAGACAGGUGCUGCAUGGCUGUCGUCAGCUCGUGUUGUGAGAUGUUGGGUUAAGUCCCGCAACGAGCGCAACCCUCGUCGGUAGUUACCAGCAUUAAGUUGGGGACUCUACCGAGACCGCUGGGCUAUAAGCCAGAGGAAGGAGGGGAUGACGUCAAGUCCUCAUGGCCUUUAUGUCUAGGGCUACACACGUGAUACAAUGGGAGGUACAAACCGUUGCCAGCUCGCGAGAGUUAGCUAAUCGUAAAAAACCUCCCUCAGUUCGGAUUGGAGUCUGCAACUCGACUCCAUGAAGCUGGAAUCGCUAGUAAUCGCGGAUCAGAACGCCGCGGUGAAUACGUUCCCGGGCCUUGUACACACCGCCCGUCACACCAUGGGAGUUGGGUAAACCUGAAAACGCCUUUGUAACCCGCAAGGGAGCUAAGCGUUUAUGGUUUGACCGAUGACUGGGGUGAAGUCGUAACAAGGUAGCCGUAGCGGAAGCUGCGGCUG